GAUGAACGCUGGCGGCGUGCCUAAUACAUGCAAGUCGAGCGAACAGAUGAGGAGCUUGCUCCUCUUACGUUAGCGGCGGACGGGUGAUUAACACGUGGAUAACCUACCUAUAAUACUUGGAUAACUUCGGGAAACCGGAGCUAAUACCGGAUAAUAUAUUGAACCUCAUGGUUCAAUAGUUAAAUACGGUUUUUCUGUCACUUAUAGCUGGUUCCGCGCCGCAUUAGCUAGUUGGUAAGGUAACGGCUUACCAAGGCAACGAUGCGUAUCCGACCUGAGAGGGCGAUAGGAAACACUGGAACGGAGACACGGUAAAGACGACUACGGGAGGCAGCAGUAGGGAAUAGUACGCAAUGGGCGAAAGGAUGACGGAGCAACGCAGCGUGAGUGAUGAAGGUCUUAGGAUCGUAAAACUCUGUUAUUAGGGAAGAAAAAAUGUGUAAGUAACUAUGAACGUAUUGACGGUAACUAAUCAGAAAGCAACGGCUAACUACGUG
Molecule: ribosomal RNA, 497 nt
Filed under: uncultured bacterium
Lineage: Bacteria
Description: partial 16S ribosomal RNA
Rfam family: Bacterial small subunit ribosomal RNA
Source: RNAcentral